Molecule: small nuclear RNA, 142 nt
Organism: Larimichthys crocea (large yellow croaker)
Lineage: Eukaryota; Metazoa; Chordata; Actinopteri; Sciaenidae
Gene: U1
Rfam family: U1 spliceosomal RNA
About the family: U1 is a small nuclear RNA (snRNA) component of the spliceosome (involved in pre-mRNA splicing). Its 5' end forms complementary base pairs with the 5' splice junction, thus defining the 5' donor site of an intron.
Source: Ensembl
AUAUUACCGGCAGGGUCAUGAUCAAGAAGGUGGUUCACCCAGGGCGAGGCUCAGGCAUUGCACUCUGGCUGUGCUGACCCCUGCGAAUUCCCCAAAUGUGGGAAUCGACUGCAUAAUCUCUGGUAGUGGGGGACUGCCCUGA